GCCCUCGAUGGCUUAGUCGGAUAGAGCUCCUGCCAUGUAAGCAGGAGAUCCCGGGUUCGAGUCCUGGUCGGGGCA
This is a non-coding RNA of Schistocerca nitens (vagrant locust), 75 nucleotides long. The record is from the annotation of a RefSeq genome assembly. NCBI's taxonomy places the organism in Eukaryota, Metazoa, Arthropoda, Insecta, Orthoptera, Acrididae.